RNAcentral lists this long non-coding RNA (307 nucleotides) under Olea europaea (common olive). RNAcentral's name for it is "long non-coding RNA (OEUR_LNC003617)". The record is from RNAcentral. Lineage: Eukaryota; Viridiplantae; Streptophyta; Magnoliopsida; Lamiales; Oleaceae.
CUAAAACAUAAAUUUUUUGCGAAGGUCAAAUUCAACAGUUUUUUUCAAAAGUUGAUCAUCUGUUCUGUUAUAAUUUGUGAAAAAUACUGUGUGUUAGUUUUUCACAAUAAAACAUGACAAAAUCUUUUGAACUUGGUGUUUUUGAUGGAAAAGGGGAUUUUCCCAUUUGACAACAAAAAAUGCGAGGUGUUUUAGUUCAGCAAAAAGUUUCUAAAGCAAUAACAGAUGAAUUUCCUGAUACCAUGACAGAUGAUCAAAAGGAAGAAUCUGAUGAACUUGCUUAUACCUCCAUUAUUUUGCAUUUAUC